UACGUAGGGGGCAAGCGUUGUCCGGAUUUAUUGGGCGUAAAGAGCGCGCAGGCGGUCGUUCAAGUCGAGUGUGAAAGCCCCCGGCUCAACUGGGGAGGGUCACUCGAUACUGAUCGACUCGAAGGCAGGAGAGGGUAGUGGAAUUCCCGGUGUAGUGGUGAAAUGCGUAGAUAUCGGGAGGAACACCAGUGGCGAAGGCGACUACCUGGCCUGUUCUUGACGCUGAGGCGCGAAAGCUAGGGGAGCAAACGGG
This 253-nucleotide ribosomal RNA is filed under the name uncultured bacterium. RNAcentral describes it as "partial 16S ribosomal RNA". It matches the Rfam family "Bacterial small subunit ribosomal RNA", at positions 524 to 776 of the family's 1533-position model. The record is from RNAcentral.